UCUCUCGGUACGUCAUAAUCGUCCCGAUCGAAAGGAGUUUACAUCCCAAGGGACUUCAUCCUCCACGCGGCGUUGCUGCGUCAGGGUUUCCCCCAUUGCGCAAAAUUCUACGGGAGGCAGCAGUGGGGAAUUUUGGGCAAUGGGGGAAACCCUGACGCAGCAACGCCGCGUGG
RNAcentral lists this ribosomal RNA (173 nucleotides) under uncultured Acidobacteriota bacterium. Its description in RNAcentral is "uncultured Acidobacteria bacterium partial 16S ribosomal RNA". The record is from RNAcentral. Lineage: Bacteria; Pseudomonadati; Acidobacteriota.